This is a long non-coding RNA of Megalobrama amblycephala (Wuchang bream), 3924 nucleotides long. RefSeq lists it as uncharacterized. The record is from RefSeq and is a predicted model, not a curated record. The transcript has 3 exons. Lineage: Eukaryota; Metazoa; Chordata; Actinopteri; Cypriniformes; Xenocyprididae.
UCUCGACUUUUUUCUUGAAAUUUAACGAGUUUAAUCUCGAGAUGGUUUUUAUUUUUUUUAUUAUUGCUUGGCCCUAAUCCUUUUCCGUACUUGUCAGUAAAUGACAAAAAUGUAAUUAAAAUUUGACAUAUUUAUCUCUUCUUACCAACACAAUCAAUCUCUUUAUAUUUUUUCCCUUUUUUGGAAAAUUGUGUAAACUCUAUCAUAGACUUUUUUUUUUCUUUUGCUAUUGGAGGAAAUGGAAAUACAGAAAUUAUUUUUGCUGUUGUCUCCCGUUCACCGCUAUAGAUGUUUACCAGACUAGAACGACUUCCACUUCUGAGAACCCCAGAAAUGUGAAAAGGGUCCAUUGACAAAACCAAGUCCCGCCAUUUCACGUGGUUAUACGUCACAAUAGGGAAGAAGAGUAUCGCGACAUGACGACUUUAAGUAACUAGUCCAUUGCUGCUUAUCAACCUGAGAUAUUUUUGGAAUUUUAGAUCAGAUGCAGACCACAGAUGGAAAGCCCGUCUGAACCAACAACAACAGCGACAGCUUGACCAAGUACUGUCUGUAGUGCAUGCCUGCACAUAUGACAAUAUUUCAGAUGUAAUAGCUGAUACAAUUGUUAGGUAGCACUUUAUUUUACAGUCCUGUUGCCCAUGUACAUAUCAUGUACUUAUUACAGUAAUAGCAACCCUGAACCUACCCCUAAACCUAACCUUAAAACCUGUAGUUACCUUAUAUCACCCAGUAUUUUCUUAGGUAAGUACACGUGCUGUAAAAUAAAGUGCAACCAAUUGUUAUUUAUUGUGUUUAAGAUAUCUUUUAUAUUGGUUUGUGUCUUGCCUUGGCUUAUGGAAUCAAGGAUGAUGUAAGAAAUUAUGUGAAUGAAAUGAAAGUGAUAUAAAAUGCAAAAAUAAGCAGUCAGUUAUUAUAAGCAUAUAAUAAAUUCCAUUACCGUGAAUAGCAGUACUGGAAUUCAAACAGUGAUAUGUGUAUGCAUACAUACAUAUGCAAAAAAAAAUGGAAAGCAAUUGCUUCAGACAAGUAAUUGCACUCAAGUGUCUCGGCUGACACCAAGGAGGCACGUGCCUAGUGUUUUAAUGUGUCACUGGAUGUUUGAAUGUUUUUAUGUCAUGACCCAUAUGCUUACUGUCUGCUCACAGCAGUAAUUUUUCACUGUCUGUUUACCCUGUCUGCUAUGUCUGACUUGCCAUUAUUAUGGAUCCCCACAGCUAUCUUACUAAAUAGGCUUCACUUUUUCCACAUUAUUGUUUUGGACUGUGUAACUCUAUCUGUGUAAUUGCAUCUUGUAGCUAAAAGGUAUUUAUCAUCUCACAAAACAGUAAAAAAAAAAUAAUCUUUCUGCUUGUUGGACUGCCUCUUUGCCACAAGAGUCUGCCACAUGGAGCGUGUCUAACAUUGACCUUUACUAAGCCUGCUUUUUAUUCAGUAGACAUGAUGAUGAAUAAUUGUAUGCCAAUUAAGUCUUUACAAAAGCGGAACUUCCUCUCAUGUCGCACAUGAUCAUUCUGUUCAUCAGCAGGAGACUUAUGAUUUUAUGAUUUUGUAGUAAAAACUAAUGAAUGGAAACUGGAUAUCUGGAUUGCAUGAUAUGAAUUAUAUAAUUUAUAAACACUCACGGACACCGUGUGAUGCAAUGUUUAAAAUCUUUUAAAAAACACAUUUGGAAUUUUCUAUAAAAUGGAAAAUAAAACCCUUUCGUGGAAUAAUCCAGUAUAAAUGUCACAUAAGAAUACCCCACAGAAAACAGCGAAAAAUUGAAAUCAUUACAUAACAAAUCCAAUGCUUAAGAACAAGUGAGGCGUGAUUUUUUUAAAGCGUUGUUAAUUGUGCAUCUGAUGAUGCUCUAUGUUUUUGAGAGGUAAUUGCUCGUGAUAUCGUUUGGAACAAUAUGAGGAGUGAACUGCACGCGCUAAUGAUAUAGCAACUCGCACCUACAGUGCUGUGAAAAGUGUUGUAUUUCCAGCCUUGGGCAAUAAUUAUAGGUCUGGGAGCAUUCCCGGAGGAUGUGUAGGCUAUUGCUCGCUUUACAGGUAUGCUGUAGUGAGGAAAACGUGAAUAGGGGCGCUCCGACACUCCAGCCGAAGGAUGCGAUAGUGUCACGGCGCGUCGUCGUUACGGACUGAUCAAAGGGAAUUCCGUAAAAGUGGUCAGAAAACUGUUACAGGUUUUUUGCUCAUCGUGGGGGAUGUCGAAAGGGUAACGACUAUAGGGACCAAAUUCCCUUUGGCGGUGGAAUAUGUUUUCCUCUAAUCAAGUUUGAGCAGAUAUUUUGGAUGAUAUCAGCAGAGCAGAUAACUCGACAUAAUGCUGUGGAUGGGGACAGAAUUGCUGCUUCUUUUUAUUUUCCCAUUGAAUUCAGCGCAGAACUCUGAACUACCUGCAGUUAUGGACAGUGAUGUGCUCGCCGAAUAUGCAUACCAGUCUGGGCCGUCAUACCUGAGUCUGAUCCUGCUGGUUCUAACCGUGGGACUGUCCGGCAGUGUUUACCUCUGUGUGCUCCGGUACAUUUGUACCGGCUGCUGCCAGCCUGUAGUUGUUGGACCUGAAGAUGAGAGCAUGUCAGGAGUGGUGUGAAAGCAGCUUUUGUUUAAAAGUGUGUCUGUCUUCAUGAUUGUGUUGGUUAGCUUGUGGCAACAACAAAUCAUACUUUUUUUCAUUCAUUUGAAGGACAUCAGAAUGUUAUUGUAAGAUUUUGAAUUUGUAUAAUACAUUUCUUGUGACGUUCCUCAUUUGUUAGUCACUUUACAUAAACGCAUCUGCUAAAUGAUUACUAAAUUUACAGCCUAUAUGUUGGCAAUAAAAGCAUUCAUUUAGCCUAGUCAGACAUGUGAUUAUAUGGAUGAUGCAAGGGCUGACUGAAUGAGAGGGAGGGGUAAACCAUUUUACCAGGCGUUGGAUGCUCUGUCAAUCAAGAGAAGUCCUUUUCACAAGCCCUGUUUGCAAUGGUAUGACACAGUCUGCAGUAACACCUGUAUACUUUCAAUGAAUGUAAAGAGCUUUUUAAAAACAAGGUCAAACAAAUAUGGAACCAUUUAUGUGAAAAAAUUGUUUUGUCCACAUUUAUGUAUUUUAAGUACUCUUUAAAGUGAUCCAGAAUUUAGUUUUUUAUUAAGGAUAAAGCGGUCCAUGCAGUGACGCGGUGCAACUUUCUAUUAUUGGCAGAAUUUCAACCAUAAUAUGUUAUUUACAUGUCAACAUCUCUUGUUUCAUUAAGUAGGAUGUUCCCUGGGGAAGUGAUCAGUUGCCAAGGGCUACUGCGGGAUCUAGUUGCCAUGGAAAUAAUUGCAUCUGCUUACCUCUAGAUGGGGCUGUCACAUCAUCUGUUCAGAAUGCUUACCUAGGCCUCUUCAAAAAAUUGCUGGAUUACAUCUUGUAGAAAUACUUUUGUAGAUCACUGUGUAGAUCACAAUGUUCUGUGUGUGUUCUAGUGUAAACACAUUAUGUUCAUUGCAAAUGCACAUGAAUACCACAGCGUGAAUAGAUUUUUAGUAAUUUUAUAGUAUUUUGUAUUAAUCGUAAUUUUGCAGUGAUGUACAAAACAGCUAUUAAAAACCAGGUUUACUUAUACAGUGUCAUCAGUUUUUUAAAGUAGACUAUAUAUGGCCAUAUUUGACUAGUUCAAAUGAACUAGCUAUUUAUAAAUAAAACGUUUCUCUCAAAACAAUACAUGUUUUCAUGCUCCUCCCAAAUGAAGUCACAGGUUGACACCAUUGUGGUUUUGCUCUUUAAACCACUUCCUCAUACAGAAAGGUAUGUUGAUUGCUGUACUUCCCCUCAGAAACAUUUCCUUUGCUUACCCCAUGUUUGACUCUGACACUGGGUUUUAAUGCUUUAGAGGUCACAGGUCAUUGUUUUUGACCACUAUUCAUUUGUUCACUAUAGUAUUUAUAAAUCUAAUACAAUAAAAUUAAAAGU